This 845-nucleotide long non-coding RNA is filed under the name Olea europaea (common olive). RNAcentral describes it as "long non-coding RNA (OEUR_LNC005210)". The record is from RNAcentral. Lineage: Eukaryota; Viridiplantae; Streptophyta; Magnoliopsida; Lamiales; Oleaceae.
CAAGACUUCAAACAAAUUUAAUGUCAAUCUAAUUAUUCAAACCAAAAAUUCAUAAUAAGGGUUCAUCACAUUCUAGCAAUAUAAAAAUCUAGCCACGCAUAAUGUCGAAAUUAAACAUGGAAGAGUUAAAAGACAUCACCAAAAAUUUUAACGAUUUCUGGUGCGUAUAAAAUUCUAGUAGGCAGCUCGUUUUAUUUUCACAAUAUGUUGCAAUUGUUGAAUUUGAAGACCAACAAAUUGGCCGACGUCUUCUGUCUUUCAUGUAUAUAAAUUCCAGCAGGCAUUUAAUUUCCAACAAGCAGCUUGUUUUCUCUUAUUAUUCAAUUUCUUAUUCCUGUGCGUGUACAUGUUUCUUGCAACCACUGAAUUUAUUAAUUGAAGAAGUCAGCCUACAUUUGCCCAAAGCUGCUGACUUUCUGUAUUUUUGUUCCUGUUUAUGUAUGUGGUUGAUUUCAAUAAGAAUCAGCCCUUUAUUUUUUCUCCAAGCUGCUGCCAAUUGUAUGUUUAUCUAUUUAAUUCCAGCAACCGGCAGCCUCCUCUUGUCUUCAGUGCGUGUUUCCUCCUCCGUGUUUUUGCCAAAAAUCCCCAACCAGUUGUCAACUUUUUAAAUUAGAAGAGAGACUCCCCAAAAAGAAAUCAACUGCCGACUUCUCUUGUGAAUGUAUUUUCUCUCCAGCCAACUGCAAUGUGUUCUUUUCUCCUGUACGUGUUCUGCCGUCUAUUUCCACGUAUGAGAUAUAUUAAUUGAUAAUGUGGCAGCUCUCUCCUCCUCCCAGCAGCAGCAAAAAUUGACUCCAAAUUGAAAUCCAAUUCUUCUCCCAGCCGCCCCACCUUUUCUGUGUAAU